Molecule: ribosomal RNA, 222 nt
Filed under: Aphanoascus cinnabarinus
Lineage: Eukaryota; Fungi; Ascomycota; Eurotiomycetes; Onygenales; Onygenaceae
Also listed under: 3 other names
Description: partial 28S ribosomal RNA
Rfam family: Eukaryotic large subunit ribosomal RNA
Source: RNAcentral
GGUUGACCUCGGAUCAGGUAGGAGUUACCCGCUGAACUUAAGCAUAUCAAUAAGCGGAGGAAAAGAAACCAACCGGGAUUGCCUCAGUAACGGCGAGUGAAGCGGCAAGAGCUCAAAUUUGAAAUCUGGCCCCUUGGGGUCCGAGUUGUAAUUUGCAGAGGAUGCUUCGGGUGCGGUCCCCGUCUAAGUGCCCUGGAACGGGCCGUCAUAGAGGGUGAGAAU